GCCGAGGUCGCUUAGUCUGGUAGAGCGCAGGCCUGGAAAGCCUGUGCCCGCAAGGGCUCGUGAGUUCAAAGUUCUGAAAAUCUCACCCUCGGCGCCA
Molecule: transfer RNA, 97 nt
Rfam family: tRNA
About the family: Transfer RNA (tRNA) molecules are approximately 80 nucleotides in length. Their secondary structure includes four short double-helical elements and three loops (D, anti-codon, and T loops).